AGUGAACGCUGGCGGUAGGCCUAACACAUGCAAGUCGAACGGCAGCACAGGAGAGCUUGCUCUCUGGGUGGCGAGUAGCGGACGGGUGAGGAAUACAUCGGAAUCUACUCUGUCGUGGGGGAUAACGUAGGGAAACUUACGCUAAUACCGCAUACGACCUACGGGUGAAAGCAGGGGACCUUCGGGCCUUGCGCGAUUGAAUGAGCCGAUGUCGGAGUAGCUAGUUGGCGGGGUAAAGGCACACCAAGGCGACGAUCCGUAGCUGGUCUGAGAGGAUGAUCAGCCACACUGGAACUGAGACACGAUCCAGACUCCUACGGGAGGCAGCAGUGGGGAAUAUUGGACAAUGGGCGCAAGCCUGAUCCAGCCAUACCGCGUGGGUGAAGAAGGCCUUCGGGUUGUAAAGCCCUUUUGUUGGGAAAGAAAUCCAGCUGGCUAAUACCCGGUUGGGAUGACGGUACCCAAAGAAUAAGCACCGGCUAACUUCGUGCCAGCAGCCGCGGUAA
Molecule: ribosomal RNA, 506 nt
Filed under: uncultured bacterium
Lineage: Bacteria
Description: partial 16S ribosomal RNA
Rfam family: Bacterial small subunit ribosomal RNA
Source: RNAcentral